RNAcentral lists this ribosomal RNA (382 nucleotides) under uncultured eukaryote. Its description in RNAcentral is "partial 18S ribosomal RNA". It matches the Rfam family "Eukaryotic small subunit ribosomal RNA", at positions 592 to 976 of the family's 1831-position model. The record is from RNAcentral.
CAAUAGCGUAUAUUAAAGUUGUUGCAGUUAAAAAGCUCGUAGUUGGAUUUCUGGUUGAAGCGACCGGUCGGGCGUUGAUUCGUCUGCACUGGAGUCGGUUUUGGCCAUCCUCUAGGAAAGUGCGUCUGGUAUUAAGUUAUCGGGCGUAUGAUCCUGGUCUUUUACUGUGAAAAAAUCAGAGUGUUUAAAGCAGGCCUUCGCCUUGAAUACAUUAGCAUGGAAUAAUAAGAUAGGACUUUGGUCUAUUUUGUUGGUUUGCAGACCGAAGUAAUGAUUAAUAGGGAUAGUUGGGGGUAUUUAUAUUCCGAUGUCAGAGGUGAAAUUCUUAGAUUUUCGGAAGAUAAACUUAUGCGAAAGCAUUUACCAAGGAUGUUUUCAUUAA